Molecule: ribosomal RNA, 439 nt
Filed under: uncultured bacterium
Lineage: Bacteria
Description: partial 16S ribosomal RNA
Rfam family: Bacterial small subunit ribosomal RNA
Source: RNAcentral
CCUACGGGUGGCAGCAGUGGGGGAUAUUGCACAAUGGGGGAACCCUGAUGCAGCGACGCCGCGUGGGUGAAGAAGCGCCUCGGCGCGUAAAGCCCUGUCAGCAGGGAAGAAAAUGACGGUACCUGAAGAAGAAGCCCCGGCUAACUACGUGCCAGCAGCCGCGGACAUACGUAGGGGGCAAGCGUUAUCCGGAUUUACUGGGUGUAAAGGGGGCGCAGACGGGGAUGCAAGCCAGGAGUGAAAGCCCGGGGCCCAACCCCGGGACUGUACUUGGAACUGGGUGGCUGGAGUGCAGGAGGGGCAGGCGGAAUUCCUGGUGUAGCGGUGAAAUGCGGAGAUAUCAGGAGGAACACCGGUGGCGAAGGCAGCCUACUGGACUGCAACUGACGUUGAGGCCCGAAAGCGUGGGGAGCAAACAGGAUUAGAUACCCGAGUAGUC